UUGGAGGGCAAGUCUGGUGCCAGCAGCCGCGGUAAUUCCAGCUCCAAUAGCGUAUAUUAAAGUUGUUGCAGUUAAAAAGCUCGUAGUUGAACUUCAGGCCUGUCCAGACGGUCCGCCUUAAUUGGUGUGUACUGUCCUUGGGUGGGUCCUACCUUCUGGCGAAGCGGCAUGGCCUUAAUUGGUUGUGUCGGGGAACCAGGACUUUUACUGCGAAAAAAUUAGAGUGUUCAAAGCAGGCAAAUAUGCUCGAAUACAUUAGCAUGGAAUAAUGGAAUAGGACGAUGGUUCUAUUUUGUUGGUUCUAGGACCGUUGUAAUGAUUAAUAGGGAUAGUUGGGGGCAUUAGUAUUCAAUCGUCAGAGGUGAAAUUCUUGGAUUUAUUGAAGACUAACUACUGCGAAGGCAUUUGCCAAGGAUGUUUUCAUUAAUCAAGAACGAAAGUUAGGGGAUCGAAGACGAUCAGAUACCGUCGUAGUCUUAACCAUAAACUAUGCCGACUAGGAAUCAGGCGAUGUUGACAAAAUGACUCGCUCGGCACCUCAUGGGAAACCAAAGUGUUUGGGUUC
RNAcentral lists this ribosomal RNA (565 nucleotides) under uncultured Glomeromycotina. RNAcentral's name for it is "bacterial SSU rRNA". It matches the Rfam family "Eukaryotic small subunit ribosomal RNA", at positions 548 to 1114 of the family's 1831-position model. The record is from RNAcentral. Lineage: Eukaryota; Fungi; Glomeromycota.